RNA transcript from Otolemur garnettii (small-eared galago), 1116 nucleotides. It is a transcript of the gene named 40S ribosomal protein S23 pseudogene, with no coding region annotated. NCBI's taxonomy places the organism in Eukaryota, Metazoa, Chordata, Mammalia, Primates, Galagidae. The transcript has a single exon. The record is from RefSeq and is a predicted model, not a curated record.
UCUCUCUUUCGCAUAGGCCCGCGGUGCCGGCACAAUGGGCAAGUGUUGUGGGCUCCAAACUGCUAAGAAGCUCCGUAGUCACAGACGAGACCAGCAGUGGCAUGAUAAACAGUACAAGAAGGCCCAUCUGGGCACAGUCCCGAAGGCCAACCCUUUUGGAGGUGCUUCCCAUGCAAAGGGGAUUGUGUUGGAAAAAGUAGGAGUUGAAACCAAACAGCCAAAUUCUGCCAUCAGGAAGUGUGUCAGGGUCCAACUGAUCAAGUAUGGCAAGAAAAUCACAGCAUUUGUACCCAAUGAACAAGGUUGCUUGAACUUUAUUGAGGAAAACGAUGAGUUUCUGGUUGCUGGAUUUGGUCAAAAAGGUCAUGCUGUUGGUGACAUUCCUGGAGUCUGCUUUAAGGUUGUCAAAGUAGCUAAUGUCUCUCUUCUGGCCCUUUACAAAGGCAAAAAGGAACAACCAAGAUCAUAAGUUUUGAUGAAAACACAGUAAUAAAUUUUCAUAUGCCAAAAAAAAAAUACCUCAGAGCUGAAUAAGAGAAAAAACAGCACAUAAAAUCUUAGCUCAGAGCCCCACAAACAGUAGUUUUAAUUAUUAUUGUCAGGGUCUUCAUUAGUCUCAUUAGUGCUACCACAGUGAAUCAACUCUGACCUUUAGCCCAGGCUCGCCCUGGCCCAGGUUCCUUCUCCUCUGGCCUGAUUCCACCCUCACUUAAGAUCUAGGGCCCAGGGCUCUUCCUGUCUGUGCCAACACUGCUUCCACUAGAGCUGGCCUCACACCCUACUCACUGGCUAUUCUCAUGAGACCCCUGGUCUGACUACAGUCUUCAGGGGCCUCGACCUACCCUGACAAUUGGGAGGGAAACUGGGUAGGGGGUGAUUCAUAGUGGGAUUUCCAGCCUUCCUGCUGCCUCCCAGGCCCAGCCCAGCCCAGGUGUGUUGGUGUGUGGGUGCGUGAAUCUGUGUGCAUGUGUUUCAGAGCCCAACCCAAACUGACCCCACUCUCUCAGCAGGCUUUUCAUAUACUUAGCAAUCCCUCCCUGACACACACUUUGUCCCUGAGCCUGUGCUGGGCACUUCUCAGCACCCAAAGAGAAUGUGGCAACAAUGGAUAGAGAA